This is a long non-coding RNA of Dermochelys coriacea (leatherback sea turtle), 363 nucleotides long. RefSeq lists it as uncharacterized. The record is from RefSeq and is a predicted model, not a curated record. Lineage: Eukaryota; Metazoa; Chordata; Testudines; Dermochelyidae. The transcript has 3 exons.
AGAAACACUUGGGAGGGUAUGUACCUGUGGACAAUCAGAGGAGCAACUUCAUUCCUAUGGAUCCCAAAUCAGAAUUCAACAUGUAUAUUUUAUACUAACACAGUUUAUACAUUGUUUAAAGGAAAACACCUGAGUACUAAUUGUAUGUUACUUGUUAACCUAAAACCAUGGGUGGAGACAUUAUGUAAUCUUUGACAAUUAGUUACUGUGCUUAUUUUGUCUUGCUGCUAGACCUAUCCAGGGGUUUGGGACUGCCUACCCUGUCAUUUCCCUCUGCCCAUGGAAAAUUCAUAUAAUCCAUUGUAAUCAAUUGUUUGGCUGUGUCUCUGAGCCUAAUAAACAAGGUGACACUCUGACAGCGCU